GGGGCUUGCAGGGGUGCCUGGGUCGGGGGCUGCAGGUGGGAGUGAGCAAAUGUGCUGUCUCGCCACCUCGGGACAGGUGGUAGGGCCUCUGACACAGAGUGGUCCUUCCUGCUGUUCACAGCUCAGCUCACCGUGGGCUGACCAUAGAUUCUCGUUGAAAUCCUAACGCCCCAGGCAAUGAUGUUAGGAGGCGGGGCUUCUGGGAGAUGGCAAGUUCGUGAGGCUGCAGCUCUGCUGGGGGAUCAGUGUCCUUCUACAAGCGGCUCCAGGGAGGUCCCUUGCCCCUUCCACCAUGUGAGGACCCGAGAUGGUGCCGUCUAUGAACCGGGAAGUGAGUCCUCUCCGGACGUGGAACAAGUUGGUGCCUUGAUUUUGAACUUGCAGCCUCCAGCUUCAUGGGGUUUAAGUACGAUGAUGCUGCAUUGAGACGUUGUACUGUGUGAAGUCAGGGCCUUCUGUGCAUCGGUCGAGGGUGCAAUGCACACGGCACCCCCGAGCAGCCACCCAUCCUCCCUUCCCUCCACCCUGCGAGGCCCCGUUGUCCGUCUGUCCACACUCUGCUCCAUGAGCACACGUGACUUAGCUUCGCCUUGUGAGCCGCUGCUUGGGGUGAGCAUGCUUCCUGCUGGAUGCUUCUCUAUGUAAGCACCUGCCUGAGUGUCAGCCCUCUUAAGGUGAACCGCUCCGUGUCAUUCGUACAUUCACAAGUUUGUGCCGCCAUCAUCGUGAUCGGAUUCCAAAACAUUUUCAUCACCUCCAAGAAAGCCUUGUACCUGGCAGCAGUCACUGUCUCUAUGGAUUUGCUUAUUCUGGACAUUUCAUAAAAAUAGAAUCAAACAGCAUUUGGC
Molecule: long non-coding RNA, 848 nt
Filed under: Homo sapiens (human)
Lineage: Eukaryota; Metazoa; Chordata; Mammalia; Primates; Hominidae
Description: HSALNT0402323
Source: RNAcentral